RNAcentral lists this ribosomal RNA (401 nucleotides) under uncultured bacterium. Its description in RNAcentral is "bacterial SSU rRNA". It matches the Rfam family "Bacterial small subunit ribosomal RNA", at positions 28 to 431 of the family's 1533-position model. The record is from RNAcentral.
GACGAACGCUGGCGGCGUGCUUAACACAUGCAAGUCGAGCGGUAAGGCCCUUUCGGGGGUACACGAGCGGCGAACGGGUGAGUAACACGUGGGUGACCUGCCUUUAGCUCUGGGAUAAGCCUGGGAAACCGGGUCUAAUACCGGAUAUGACUCCAUGACGCAUGUUGUGGGGUGGAAAGCCUUGUGCGGCUGAGGAUGGGCCCGCGGCCUAUCAGCUUGUUGGUGGGGUGAUGGCCACCAAGGCGACGACGGGUAGCCGGCCUGAGAGGGCGACCGGCCACACUGGGACUGAGACACGGCCCAGACUCCUACGGGAGGCAGCAGUGGGGAAUCUUGCGCAAUGGGCGAAAGCCUGACGCAGCGACGCCGCGUGCGGGAGGACGGCCUCGGUCGUAACGACU